GAAGUCAUUGAUGCCAUGCUUCCGGGAAAAGCUUCUAAGCUUCAGAUUAUAAGAAAUCGUACCCCAAACCGACACAGGUGAUCAGGUAGAGAAUACCAAGGCGCUUGAGAGAACUCGGGUGAAGGAACUAGGCAAAAUGGUACCGUAACUUCGGGAGAAGGUACGCUCCUAGCGGUGAUGAGACUUGCUCUCUAAGCUGCCGGGAGUCGCAGAUACCAGGUGGCUGCAACUGUUUAUUAAAAACACAGCACUGUGCAAAAUCGAAAGAUGACGUAUACGGUGUGACGCCUGCCCGGUGCCGGAAGGUUAAUUGAUGGGGUUAGACUUCGGUCGAAGCUCUUGAUCGAAGCCCCGGUAAACGGCGGCCGUAACUAUAACGGUCCUAAGGUAGCGAAAUUCCUUGUCGGGUAAGUUCCGACCUGCACGAAUGGCGUAAUGAUGGCCACGCUGUCUCCACCCGAGACUCAGUGAAAUUGAAAUCGCAGUGAAGAUGCUGCGUCCCCGCGGCUAGACGGAAAGACCCCGUGAACCUUUACUAUAGCUUGGCACUGAACAUUGACCCUACAUGUGUAGGAUAGGUGGGAGACUGUGAAAUAAUCGCGCUAGCGGUUAUGGAGUCGUCCUUGAAAUACCACCCUUGUAUGCUUGAUGUUCUAACGUGGGCCCCUUAUCGGGGUUACGGACAGUGCCUGGUGGGUAGUUUGACUGGGGCGGUCUCCUCCCAAAGAGUAACGGAGGAGCACGAAGGUGGGCUAAUCACGGUCGGACAUCGUGAGGUUAGUGCAAUGGCAUAAGCCCGCUUGACUGCGAGAAUGACAAUUCGAGCAGGUGCGAAAGCAGGUCAUAGUGAUCCGGUGGUUCUGAAUGGAAGGGCCAUCGCUCAACGGAUAAAAGGUACUCCGGGGAUAACAGGCUGAUACCGCCCAAGAGUUCAUAUCGACGGCGGUGUUUGGCACCUCGAUGUCGGCUCAUCACAUCCUGGGGCUGAAGUCGGUCCCAAGGGUAUGGCUGUUCGCCAUUUAAAGUGGUACGCGAGCUGGGUUUAGAACGUCGUGAGACAGUUCGGUCCCUAUCUGCCGUGGGCGUUGGAUGAUUGAGAGGGGCUGCUCCUAGUACGAGAGGACCGGAGUGGACGAACCGCUGGUGUUCGGGUUGUGUCGCCAGACGCAUUGCCCGGUAGCUAAGUUCGGAAUCGAUAACCGCUGAAAGCAUCUAAGCGGGAAGCGAGCCUCAAGAUGAGUCAUCCCUAGACCUUUAAGGUCUCUAAAGGGUUGUUGAAGACUACAACGUUGAUAGGUCGGGUGUGUAAGUGCUGUGAGGCAUUGAGCUAACCGAUACUAAUUGCCCGUGAGGCUUAACC
Molecule: ribosomal RNA, 1360 nt
Filed under: Photobacterium leiognathi
Lineage: Bacteria; Pseudomonadati; Pseudomonadota; Gammaproteobacteria; Vibrionales; Vibrionaceae
Description: bacterial LSU rRNA
Rfam family: Bacterial large subunit ribosomal RNA
Source: RNAcentral